GACCCCUUAGCUCAGUGGUAGAGCGUGUGAUUCCAGUGAAUUUUCUUGAAUCCACAAGGUCGUCCGUUCAAUCCGGGCAGGGGUCA
This 86-nucleotide transfer RNA is filed under the name Gymnopus androsaceus JB14. It matches the Rfam family "tRNA". From Rfam's summary of the family: Transfer RNA (tRNA) molecules are approximately 80 nucleotides in length. Their secondary structure includes four short double-helical elements and three loops (D, anti-codon, and T loops). Further hydrogen bonds mediate the characteristic L-shaped molecular structure. tRNAs have two regions of fundamental functional importance: the anti-codon, which is responsible for specific mRNA codon recognition, and the 3' end, to which the tRNAs corresponding amino acid is attached (by aminoacyl-tRNA synthetases). tRNAs cope with the degeneracy of the genetic code in two manners: having more than one tRNA (with a specific anti-codon) for a particular amino acid; and 'wobble' base-pairing, i.e. permitting non-standard base-pairing at the 3rd anti-codon position. Lineage: Eukaryota; Fungi; Basidiomycota; Agaricomycetes; Agaricales; Omphalotaceae. The record is from Rfam by way of RNAcentral.